AUGAACGCUGGCGGCGUGCCUAAUACAUGCAAGUCGAGCGAACAGAUGAGGAGCUUGCUCCUCUGACGUUAGCGGCGGACGGGUGAGUAACACGUGGAUAACCUACCUAUAAGACUGGGAUAACUUCGGGAAACCGGAGCUAAUACCGGAUAAUAUAUUGAACCGCAUGGUUCAAUAGUGAAAGACGGUUUUGCUGUCACUUAUAGAUGGAUCCGCGCCGCAUUAGCUAGUUGGUAAGGUAACGGCUUACCAAGGCAACGAUGCGUAGCCGACCUGAGAGGGUGAUCGGCCACACUGGAAAGGGGACACGGUCCAGACUCCUAGGGGGGGCAGAAGGGGGGAAUCUUCCGCAAGGGGCGAAAGCCUGACGGGGCAACGCCGCGGGAGUGAUGAAGGUCUUCGGAUCGUAAAACUCUGUUAUUAGGGAAAAAAAAAUGUGAAAGUGACUAUGCACGUCUUGACGGUACCAAAUCAGAAAGCCACGGCUAACUACG
RNAcentral lists this ribosomal RNA (494 nucleotides) under uncultured bacterium. RNAcentral's name for it is "partial 16S ribosomal RNA". It matches the Rfam family "Bacterial small subunit ribosomal RNA", at positions 29 to 505 of the family's 1533-position model. The record is from RNAcentral.